GACGAACCGUGCGAACGUUGUUCGGAAUCACUGGGCUUAAAGGGCGCGUAGGCGGCUUGCCAAGUCAGGGGUGAAAUCUUUCGGCUUAACCGGAAAAGUGCCUUUGAUACUGGCGAGCUCGAGUGAGGUAGGGGCAGAUGGAACUGUUGGUGGAGCGGUGAAAUGUGUUGAUAUCAACAGGAACGCCGGUGGCGAAAGCGAUCUGCUGGACCUCUUCUGACGCUGAGGCGCGAAAGCUAGGGGAGCAAACGGG
Molecule: ribosomal RNA, 253 nt
Filed under: Gemmataceae bacterium
Lineage: Bacteria; Pseudomonadati; Planctomycetota; Planctomycetia; Gemmatales; Gemmataceae
Also listed under: 1 other name
Description: partial 16S ribosomal RNA
Rfam family: Bacterial small subunit ribosomal RNA
Source: RNAcentral